Molecule: ribosomal RNA, 429 nt
Filed under: bacterium
Lineage: Bacteria
Description: partial 16S ribosomal RNA
Rfam family: Bacterial small subunit ribosomal RNA
Source: RNAcentral
UAGGGAAUCUUCCACAAUGGACGCAAGUCUGAUGGAGCAACGCCGCGUGAGUGAAGAAGGUUUUCGGAUCGUAAAGCUCUGUUGUUGGUGAAGAAGGAUAGAGGCAGCAACUGGUCUUUAUUUGACGGUAAUCAACCAGAAAGUCACGGCUAACUACGUGCCAGCAGCCGCGGUAAUACGUAGGUGGCAAGCGUUGUCCGGAUUUAUUGGGCGUAAAGCGAGCGCAGGCGGAAUGAUAAGUCUGAUGUGAAAGCCCACGGCUCAACCGUGGAACUGCAUCGGAAACUGUCAUUCUUGAGUGCAGAAGAGGAGAGUGGAAUUCCAUGUGUAGCGGUGGAAUGCGUAGAUAUAUGGAAGAACACCAGUGGCGAAGGCGGCUCUCUGGUCUGCAACUGACGCUGAGGCUCGAAAGCAUGGGUAGCGAACAGG